This 157-nucleotide unclassified non-coding RNA is filed under the name Phylloporus sp. Its description in RNAcentral is "partial contains small subunit ribosomal RNA and internal transcribed spacer 1". The stretch from base 1 to 46 matches the Rfam family "Eukaryotic small subunit ribosomal RNA", at positions 1786 to 1831 of the family's 1831-position model. The record is from RNAcentral. Lineage: Eukaryota; Fungi; Basidiomycota; Agaricomycetes; Boletales; Boletaceae.
AAGUCGUAACAAGGUUUCCGUAGGUGAACCUGCGGAAGGAUCAUUAACAAAAUUCAAUAUGAACCCUGUGUCACCAAUCUACCUACCUACAUACGAUGAUCUCAUUACAAACAAAAACAAACGACAACAUCUCUGAACAAAGGAUCUCUAGGCUCUU